This 669-nucleotide long non-coding RNA is filed under the name Salarias fasciatus (jewelled blenny). RNAcentral describes it as "lncRNA (ENSSFAG00005007963.1)". Lineage: Eukaryota; Metazoa; Chordata; Actinopteri; Blenniiformes; Blenniidae. The record is from RNAcentral.
GGAAUGUUGUAAUUAAACCCAGUGAAUAAAGGCAAAACAAAUGGCUACAGCCUUAAUUUUGCACAGUACAUUUCAGAUGUGUGGCUGUGGCUUUGCUGCACUUUUAUGUUUUACUUUGAGGGACACAUCCGGAGAGGAAACGUGUUGUGUGAGGUUGAACUUUACAAGAGAGAGAGAGAGAGAGAGAGAGAGAGAGAGAGAGAGAGAGAGAGAGAGAGAGAGAGAGAGAGAGAGAGAGAGAGUCGACAGAUAGGCGGCCCACAAACUUCAUUUCGGACAUUAGAGCUUUAUCAGGACAGAGUGUGUGUGUUCGGAGCUUCUCUUUUACACCAUGAGAGACUCGACACACCACAGACACACUGUAAAAGGCUGAGGGCGGAAGUGAGAGGAGGGGGAAGUGGUGAGAAGGAGGAAGGAAAAAGAGGAUUAAUAAACCCUGAAAGAAGUCAUUUUCCCUCUGUCAAGUUGAAGUCCGGACCGCUGUGGAGGGAGGAGGGCUCCUGUGUGUUUCCAGGGGGGAAUGGACACCCACGUCAAGGAGGGACAGCUUUAUGUGCAGCAUCAGAAGUUUGGGAAGUUGAACGUCGGCGUCGUUCACCCCCGUGGCAGAACGUCGGAGGCGGGCCACACCCUGGACAGAUCACCAGCUCAUCACAAGCAGAGUCGACG